Molecule: small RNA, 148 nt
Filed under: Pongo abelii (Sumatran orangutan)
Lineage: Eukaryota; Metazoa; Chordata; Mammalia; Primates; Hominidae
Description: Metazoan signal recognition particle RNA (ENSPPYG00000041552.1)
Source: Rfam by way of RNAcentral
GCUGGGCAUGGUGGCAUGUGUCUGUAGUCCUAUCUACUUGGGAGGCUGAGGCAGGAGAAUCGCUUGAGUCCAGGAGUUUGAGGCUGCAGUGAGCUAUGAUUGCACCACUGCACUCCAGCCUGGGUGACAGAGCAAGACCCUGUCUCUA